UGCGCCCGUAGCUCAGAAGGAUAGAGCAACGGUUUCCUAAACCGUAGGUCGGACGUUCGAAUCGUCUCGGGCGCAU
RNAcentral lists this transfer RNA (76 nucleotides) under Candidatus Kuenenia stuttgartensis. RNAcentral's name for it is "Candidatus Kuenenia stuttgartiensis tRNA-Arg". It matches the Rfam family "tRNA". Rfam says of the family: Transfer RNA (tRNA) molecules are approximately 80 nucleotides in length. Their secondary structure includes four short double-helical elements and three loops (D, anti-codon, and T loops). Lineage: Bacteria; Pseudomonadati; Planctomycetota; Candidatus Brocadiia; Candidatus Brocadiales; Candidatus Brocadiaceae. The record is from RNAcentral.